AGUUAAAUUUUUCAUUUUCUCAACUUUUUCUUAGUCUCUUAACCUUUUAAUCAUCAGCGAAUUUAAAUUAAUUUAAACUGAUUGCAAUCUCGUGUUGUUAACAAUCAUCUAAUCUAUUGGACAACCUCUACUUUUAAAGAUAAAUUUUCCUGGGAAAAUUUCUGUUUGGUUUCCAAAAAUGGUGAGAUAGACUUUUUAAAAUCUUUUCCAAUUGUUAUCUCCAUGGUCAUGGGUUAUCAAAAUGUCAUCCAGAAGGGUUCCAAUUGUUUGGUUUAAGCUGAUCCGGUUUAACUUGAUGAGGACGAAGUGUAAAAUCAAAAAAGCGACUCUCCAUGAUUAUAUGGGAUAAAUUAUCUGAUUGACCAACUGCAAGGAACAUAUUCUAAGAAAAAUGAAGAUAGUCAUCUAGUGAAUUGUUUCUCACCAUAAAAAAUAACUGAAUAAACCAUGAUGACAAAUAUGACAAAGAUGAAAAAUCAAAACAAUAUCAGCAGAUCCAUCAUUCAAUAAGAAGUUAACUCUAUGAUUGGAUUGAGGAAUUUUUGAAACGAAAUCAAGAAGAACAAUGAUGAGAAUUCAUGUCAAUCCAAUUCUCGCUGCAAACCUCAAGCCAUAAAUUGAGCGAAAAAAAAACACCACCAAGACAUUUGACUGAGCCACCAAAUCAUGGUCACAAUUAGAUGACCAAAAUCGUCCAUCUACGAUUUGGAUCGUUUCCUCAUCUCUUUAUUUUGGCUCAUUAAUUUUUCACAGAUUCCAUUGUUUCCCUUAUCCCAAUUAGACAAUUAAAGAUAUUCUGUAAAUAUUCUUCUCUAUUCUAAGAAA
Long non-coding RNA from Panonychus citri (citrus red mite), 825 nucleotides. RefSeq lists it as uncharacterized. Lineage: Eukaryota; Metazoa; Arthropoda; Arachnida; Trombidiformes; Tetranychidae. The transcript is spliced from 2 exons. The record is from RefSeq and is a predicted model, not a curated record.